GCCAGACUCCUACGGGAGGCAGCAGUGGGGAAUAUUGGACAAUGGGGGGAACCCUGAUCCAGCGACGCCGCGUGAGUGAAGAAGUAUUUCGGUAUGUAAAGCUCUCUCAGCAGGGAAGAAAGAAAUGACGGUACCUGACUAAGAAGCCCCGGCUAACUACGUGCCAGCAGCCGCGGUAAUACGUAGGGGGCAAGCGUUAUCCGGAUUUACUGGGUGUAAAGGGAGCGUAGGCGGCAGUGCAAGUCUGAAGUGAAAGGCGGGGGCCCAACCCCCGGACUGCUUUGGAAACUGUGCUGCUGGAGUGCAGGAGAGGUAAGUGGAAUUCCUAGUGUAGCGGUGAAAUGCGUAGAUAUUAGGAGGAACCCCAGUGGCGAAGGCGGCUUACUGGACUUUAACUGACGUUGAGGCUCGAAAGCGUGGGGAGCAAACAGGAUUAGAUACCCUUGUAGC
This 450-nucleotide ribosomal RNA is filed under the name uncultured bacterium. RNAcentral describes it as "bacterial SSU rRNA". It matches the Rfam family "Bacterial small subunit ribosomal RNA", at positions 330 to 794 of the family's 1533-position model. The record is from RNAcentral.